GCGAAGUUGUCUUCCUGGCCUUACUACCGAAUCUUGGCAAAGGAUCAAUGGGUAAAAUCUGCUGGCGGGGUCACUCCAUUAUUCUUAUCUGUGGAGAUCUAGAUCUUGAUUUGAAAGUUUCUGAGAAAAUCUUCAGCUCAGACUUGAGGUCAACUUUACCAACUGAAGGAUCUGCAUUUACU
This 182-nucleotide long non-coding RNA is filed under the name Theropithecus gelada (gelada). RNAcentral describes it as "lncRNA (ENSTGEG00000019435.1)". Lineage: Eukaryota; Metazoa; Chordata; Mammalia; Primates; Cercopithecidae. The record is from RNAcentral.